GGAGGGGCUCCCACGGUGCAGCUGCGGGCUGAAGGGCUCCUCAAGCGCGGCCAGAGUGGGCUGAGGCCGAGGAGGCGCGGAGAGCCAGCGAGGGAUGCCAGCAAGCUGUCACCUCUCAGAAAUACAGGAAGAACAUCAAUAAUGUUCGAAGUUAUAAAUUGCGGAGGUCAGAAGUCAGAAAACAAGGUGUCUGCAGGACCAACCUCUCCUCUGGAUGCUCUAGGUGUUGAAAUUUCCAGGAUGCAAAACGAAGGGGCAAUUCAAAACAUUCAUCUCCACUUCUCAAAAACAUGGUCCCUGUCACCAUCCACCUCGACUUCAUGUAUCUUCUGCUUCUACCCGUGUAACAAGUACAUAGCUUGUGUUUCCUGAAUGGCUU
RNAcentral lists this long non-coding RNA (379 nucleotides) under Homo sapiens (human). RNAcentral's name for it is "HSALNT0325621". The record is from RNAcentral. Lineage: Eukaryota; Metazoa; Chordata; Mammalia; Primates; Hominidae.